This 461-nucleotide ribosomal RNA is filed under the name uncultured bacterium. RNAcentral's name for it is "partial 16S ribosomal RNA". It matches the Rfam family "Bacterial small subunit ribosomal RNA", at positions 39 to 523 of the family's 1533-position model. The record is from RNAcentral.
GCGGCAUGCCUAACACAUGCAAGUCGAACGUGAAAGAGGGGCAACUCUCGAGUAAAGUGGCGGACGGGUGAGUAAUACGUAGGAAUCUGCCCUAAAGUGGGGGAUAACCUGCCGAAAGGCGGGCUAAUACCGCAUAAUCUCUACGGAGAAAAGGUGGCUAGCAAUAGCCUUCGCUUUAGGAUGAGCCCGCGUUGGAUUAGCUAGUUGGUGAGGUAAUGGUUCACCAAGGCGACGAUCCAUAGCUGGUCUGAGAGGAUGAUCAGCCACACUGGGACUGAGACACGGCCCAGACUCCUACGGGAGGCAGCAGUGGGGAAUAUUGGACAAUGGGCGAAAGCCUGAUCCAGCCAUGCCGCGUGAGUGAUGAAGGCCUUAGGGUUGUAAAGCUCUUUCAGUGGGGAAGAUAAUGACGGUACCCACAGAAGAAGCCCCGGCUAACUUCGUGCCAGCCGCCGCAGUAA